RNAcentral lists this ribosomal RNA (403 nucleotides) under uncultured bacterium. RNAcentral's name for it is "partial 16S ribosomal RNA". It matches the Rfam family "Bacterial small subunit ribosomal RNA", at positions 30 to 526 of the family's 1533-position model. The record is from RNAcentral.
AUUGAACGCUGGCGGCAGGCCUAACACAUGCAAGUCGAGCGAGCGGCGGACGGGUGAGUAAUGUAUGGGGACUGCCCGAUAGAGGGGGAUAACUACUGGAAACGGUAGCUCAUACCGCAUACUAUCGGAUAACCCAUAUGGGAUUAGCUAGUAGGUGAAGUAAUGGCUCACCUAGGCGACGAUCCCUAGCUGGUCCGAGAGGAUGAUCAGCCACUCUGGAACGAAGACACGGCCCAGACUCCGCCGGAGGCAGCAGUGGGGAAUAUUGCACAAUGGGCGCAAGCCUGAUGCAGCCAUGCCGCGUGGAUGAAGAAGGCCCUAGGGUUGUAAAGUACUUUCAGUCGGGAGGCGUUACCGACAGAAGAAGCACCGGCUAACUCCGUGCCAGCAGCCGCGGUAAUUC